CCAUAGGGCAUGGUGUUUCCUCAAUGUAGAGAGUGUGGCACCGGGGGAACAGCCGAAUAGCCACCAUCGUAGAUCGUCAUGUGCGCCCUUGCUCGAUGUCCCGUGUGCGGCUAGGAUGGUGCGCCGGGGAGUGGUGAUCUUGGCCAGCGACAACUCGAGUGCGGGGAGUCAUUGGGGCACGAUGAUUUCUUGUCGAUGUUGAAGAACUGCCACCGAGUCGUUGUUCUCCAUUGACUACACGCGCUGGUGUUCGAUUUUAGUAAGAACCUACUCUCUCUAACUCGCUAUGACCUGAGCAUCGAGUAGUGUGUUCCAUACUAGAUGAUAAAGCACUGGAACCGCGCAUCUGCGUUCUCCGGCGUGGGCUCGCUACGUUACUGGGCGGCGCCACCGACUGAAGCUGGGGGAGGAAGACGGGUGUCUAAGAUUAGAUCCUAGUUAGCCUUUCAUUCCAUCGAAGCAGAGUCGUAGAUCUUUUAUCCGAUGAUGCGGAGCAAAUCAAGCAAUCAUAAAAUCUUGAUCAUAGAUCUCGGAUCUGAGGGCCAGAAUCGCGUAUCGGUUCAAUAGAUUGUGGAUAUAGUCUGAUCCAUUGGAUGGGAAUCAGUCGACUGUAGUAUAAGGGUACCCCUUCAGCCGAGCAAACUUGUUAAAGUGUUCCUAUGUUAUUACGCAUUCAACCCACCAUCCCCAUAGUAAAAACGUCGCAAAAGAGUCCUUGUCUUUGAAAAUUGAACCCUAAGUUAUUGGAGUUUAUUACCCGCAGUCCAGGAAUUAGGAUUAACUCUAGAAAAUGAUUUUGAUAUAAAAAUAAACCUAAAAAUCUUAGAUGAAUCAUAACUUGACCAUUUUAACUCCGAUUUAGUCCAUUCCAGUUGCAUUAGCUUCGUAAUAUUAUUGCCUACGCUUUUUGUAACAUUAUUUUAUCAGGUAACAUGUUAUCAGAAAACUAUUGGUUUAACCGAUGCUUAGUAUAUUAAUCUUGCUAAACAAAGAUAAUCUAUCUAUAGUUAUAACCUAACUAAAAUAUGAUCCAUAAUCAAGUUGUAACUUGGAUUAAGGUUUAAUAACUAUUUCAUUGUAAUAUUUUCUCACUUGAUUUAUAUUAAUUAACAUAGAAUAUAUAUUUCUUAUUUAAUCUCCUAAGAACUGCAGAAAACUAUAUCUUUUUAACUGUAACUCCGAUUUUAGUGAUCCUCGAACCUACAAUCUCUUAGCAAUGCAUGGAAUAUUCUUAAGUAGUUUGUUCUUGUACUUUGGUGUAUUGUUACCAUACCCAUUAUUUUCUUGAAUGUAUGUGUUGCUAUGAUAGAAGCGAGGUUGCGAGUCACCUGAAGACUCACUUGGUGAAGUGCCUGGAAUCUCAAGUCACAUGCAAGUUGUGCCCUUGAUCACUCUUCUUUACCUAAUAAUGUUCUUGUUAAUCACUGUGACAUGCUUAGGUUAAUUUGAUGGGACCUAAUAGGUUUCCCUAAUUUUGUUUACCCCACCCCUUGCAAACAAAUGAACUAUUGGGUAAAUUCGCU
This 1523-nucleotide long non-coding RNA is filed under the name Zea mays. Its description in RNAcentral is "long non-coding RNA (ZMAY_LNC003238)". The record is from RNAcentral. Lineage: Eukaryota; Viridiplantae; Streptophyta; Magnoliopsida; Poales; Poaceae.